UAGUCUGGAUGAUUGCAUAGAGUACAUUCAAGAAGACGAGCUUGUUGAAGUUACUCCAUCAAGUAUCCGGAUGUUGAAAAACCCAAAGUCUGCCAAAAAGACGCGAUGAAGGUUUACAUAGAACGAGGCAAAGAGACGCGAUGAAGUAUACAUGAUACGAGAACGAGGCAAAUAGACACAAUGAAGUAUCAAGUAUCCGGAUGUUGAAAAACCCGAAGUCUGCCAAAAAGACACGAUGAAUGUGUACAUAGAACGAGGCGAAGAGACGCAAUGAAGUAUGCAUGGUACGAGAACGGCAAAGAGACAUGAUGAAGUAUACAUGGUAGGCGCCAAUAUAUAUGUCAUCCCAACUCCUUAAUUCAUU
This 364-nucleotide long non-coding RNA is filed under the name Nicotiana benthamiana. RNAcentral describes it as "long non-coding RNA (NBEN_LNC012187)". Lineage: Eukaryota; Viridiplantae; Streptophyta; Magnoliopsida; Solanales; Solanaceae. The record is from RNAcentral.